This 292-nucleotide unclassified non-coding RNA is filed under the name Piloderma lanatum. Its description in RNAcentral is "sequence contains 5.8S rRNA gene". The stretch from base 1 to 53 matches the Rfam family "5.8S ribosomal RNA", at positions 102 to 154 of the family's 154-position model. Lineage: Eukaryota; Fungi; Basidiomycota; Agaricomycetes; Atheliales; Atheliaceae. The record is from RNAcentral.
GAACGCACCUUGCGCCCCUUGGUAUUCCGAGGGGCAUGCCUGUUUGAGUGUCAUUAAAUUCUCAACUCCGAUUUGAUUUGUUUCUAAUCAGAGCUUGGACUUGGAGCGUGCUGGCGUCUAGUCGGCUCCUCUCAAAUGCAUCAGCGGAAUCUAACCUUUGGUUUCCGGACGUCGGUGUGAUAAUAAAAGUUGCGCCGUCUUUCGACUUCAAAGUCCGCUUAUAAUGGUCUUCGGACGAACUCUUAUGUCAAAUUUGACCUCAAAUCAGGUAGGACUACCCGCUGAACUUAAG